GGGUUGUGAGGUUAAGCGACUAAGCGUACACGGUGGAUGCCCUGGCAGUCAGAGGCGAUGAAGGACGUGCUAAUCUGCGAAAAGCGUCGGUAAGGUGAUAUGAACCGUUAUAACCGGCGAUGUCCGAAUGGGGAAACCCAGUGUGAUUCGUCACACUAUCGUUAACUGAAUACAUAGGUUAACGAG
This 186-nucleotide ribosomal RNA is filed under the name Vibrio parahaemolyticus. RNAcentral describes it as "partial 23S ribosomal RNA". It matches the Rfam family "Bacterial large subunit ribosomal RNA", at positions 1 to 178 of the family's 2925-position model. Lineage: Bacteria; Pseudomonadati; Pseudomonadota; Gammaproteobacteria; Vibrionales; Vibrionaceae. The record is from RNAcentral.